Rhamnusium bicolor is the source of this 75-nucleotide non-coding RNA. NCBI's taxonomy places the organism in Eukaryota, Metazoa, Arthropoda, Insecta, Coleoptera, Cerambycidae. The record is from the annotation of a GenBank genome assembly.
GUUGAAAUAACUCAAUGGGGAGAGCGCUAGACUGAUGUUCUAGAGGCCCCAGGUUUAACUGCCCUGGUUUCAAGA